Polistes dominula (European paper wasp) is the source of this 368-nucleotide long non-coding RNA. RefSeq lists it as uncharacterized. The record is from RefSeq and is a predicted model, not a curated record. NCBI's taxonomy places the organism in Eukaryota, Metazoa, Arthropoda, Insecta, Hymenoptera, Vespidae.
AACAAAUGAUACAAUUGCAUAAUUUUCAUUUAACCACGUGUCACGUGAAAACAAAAAGAAACAAAAAUGACGUACGUGACAAUCAUCAAACAGUCAUAUAGACGAUUACAUGGAACAAAAGUAUUUUCAUAGAGGAUAAUGUCUAAAGCGCUCCCAUGAUGGACUCUAAAAAUGGCUUAUUCUAUAUUUAUUUGGCGCUAUUAUGAAGAAAUAUUAUUACAACUACUACAACUUGAUUAUUUUGGGGAUUGAUUAACUAAGAAGUAGUGAAGAUAACUCCCAAUUAUGUCAGAAGGGCUUGCUUACAUAACUAUCUUAUCGAUAAGCUACGCAUGGACCGCAUAUCGCCUAUUAUCUACAAAAAAAUG